RNAcentral lists this long non-coding RNA (763 nucleotides) under Homo sapiens (human). Its description in RNAcentral is "HSALNT0346753". The record is from RNAcentral. Lineage: Eukaryota; Metazoa; Chordata; Mammalia; Primates; Hominidae.
CCCUGCCCUCACCUUGGUUUUGACCUUCUAGCCUCCAGAAUUAUGAAGAAAUAAGUAUCUGUUGGCUUAGUCCCCCAGUCCUUGAUACUUUUUUUCCGGCAGCCUUAGCCAGCAAGUGCAUGUGGCACAGGCUGAACUGCUCCAUCUGUUUCCGGACCGCGCUCUGCUUUUAGGGCUGUUCAUCUCAGACGCCCUGCUUCCCGGGUUAAUAUUCAUCUGUAGCCUGAGUGACCCCAAAAAGAUGACACUCUUCUGUCCACCAAAACCUUCCAGAGGCUUCCUGUGCUCACUUGAAGUAAAAUCCAAAGUGCUGACUGUGGUUACCAGCUCCCCGGGCUGGCCUGCUGCGGGACGGCUUCUCCACCAGCCUCCCGUUCAAGGCCUCCAUUUCUGCCACUGCGGCGUCUGCAUGGUUCCUGAGCAUCCCAAGCACAUUCCCACCUCAAGGCCUUGGUGCUUGCAGUUCAUCUGCUUCUCUCCUGGUCUAUGCCUGGCUGGUUCUUAUUUCUUUUGAAUUCGGACGAGGUGCACCUCAUGAGAGAGGCCUUCCUUGACCUCCCUCCUCCAUUCCUCUCACAGGCCCCAUCUGACAUGCUUGCCCUCCCCCUCCCCUACCCCCAUCCCCUUGUGAGCCCCAUGAGAGAAGGGCCUCUGUCCUUAGGUAGAUGUGAUUCCCCAGAACCCAGGACAGGACAGCCACACAGGAGGAAACUGACACACUUUUCUUAAAUGAUGGAAUAAAGUACUGACUGUGUUUCAAGCA